CGCCCCUUUUCAGAACUAAGUUUGGUUGUCUGUGUUUCGUUUGCAUUUCCACAGCUUGAAGGUGAAGAUCUCCCACAUAAUGACUCCGAAGCUCCAUACAUCGCUCUCAGUGGAGAACUUCCUGUACAUGAUGCUCUCCGGAGGCAUCCAGCGUAUGGGCAGCAUGGUGUGACCUCCCACCUACAAGAAAGAUUACACCUCAAGCAUCGCUCACAAACAUCUUACGUGUCAUGCUCCGUUCCUGUGGCCAGACACUCGAGCCCCAGAAGACAACAAACGUCAAUAUGACUCGCCAUGUGUGGAUUACGUGCUUGGCAGGAUCCUCUAUUUAUAAUCACUUGACACAGUGAACGUGUCCAAUGCGGUAAUAAUUUCGUAAUCUCUCCGCUUUUUCAAUAUCGCAGACUGUGCGUAAGCUUGUGUAUGUGCGGCUGAUAAAGAUGUUUCUAGCCUUCAGCUUACGACUGCCUUGAAUACAAAGACUCACUCCACAAUCCAAUUUCUCAGUGGAAUAGUUUGCUGUCCUUGGCAUUUAGCUCGAUCUAAUAGGUUGCUACUGUUAGCACAAAUAAAGGAAAAUCACAUUUGGAAUAUUUAUAGAUUGGGAUUGUAAAUAGAAAACAUUUUAUUUUUUUAAACAACAGACUUUAUGUUGUGUUCUGGUCGUUUUGACCUGG
This is a long non-coding RNA of Carassius gibelio (silver crucian carp), 677 nucleotides long. RefSeq lists it as uncharacterized. NCBI's taxonomy places the organism in Eukaryota, Metazoa, Chordata, Actinopteri, Cypriniformes, Cyprinidae. The record is from RefSeq and is a predicted model, not a curated record. The transcript is spliced from 3 exons.